This 274-nucleotide ribosomal RNA is filed under the name uncultured bacterium. RNAcentral describes it as "partial 16S ribosomal RNA". It matches the Rfam family "Bacterial small subunit ribosomal RNA", at positions 523 to 796 of the family's 1533-position model. The record is from RNAcentral.
AUACGGAGGGUGCAAGCGUUAUCCGGAAUCAUAGGGUUUAAAGGGUCCGCAGGCGGAUUAAUAAGUCAGUGGUGAAAUCCUCUCGCUCAACGAGAGAACUGCCAUUGAAACUGUUAGUCUUGAAUUCGGUCGAAGUAGGCGGAAUGUGUCAUGUAGCGGUGAAAUGCAUAGAUAUGACACAGAACACCGAUAGCGAAGGCAGCUUACUAGACCUGGAUUGACGCUCAUGGACGAAAGCGUGGGGAGCGAACAGGAUUAGAAACCCCAGUAGUCC